RNAcentral lists this transfer RNA (70 nucleotides) under Kalasha nativa. RNAcentral's name for it is "tRNA-Lys". The record is from RNAcentral. Lineage: Eukaryota; Metazoa; Arthropoda; Insecta; Hemiptera; Cicadellidae.
CAUUAAGAAACUUAAGUGAAAGUAAUGGUCUCUUAAACCAAAUUAUGGUAAAAACACAUGCCCUUAAUGG